GACGAGGGGUCCUAGCGUUGUUCGGAAUCAUUGGGCGUAAAGCGUGUGUAGGUGGCCAUACAAGUCAGUUGUGAAAGCCCCGGGCUCAACCCGGGAAGUGCUUCUGAUACUGUUUGGCUUGAGUACUGGAGAGGAUAGUGGAAUUCCUGGUGUAGUGGUGAAAUACGUAGAUAUCAGGAGGAACACCGGUGGCGAAGGCGGCUAUCUGGCCAUGUACUGACGCUGAGACACGAAAGCGUGGGGAGCAAACAGG
This 253-nucleotide ribosomal RNA is filed under the name uncultured bacterium. RNAcentral's name for it is "partial 16S ribosomal RNA". It matches the Rfam family "Bacterial small subunit ribosomal RNA", at positions 524 to 776 of the family's 1533-position model. The record is from RNAcentral.